RNAcentral lists this ribosomal RNA (495 nucleotides) under uncultured bacterium. Its description in RNAcentral is "bacterial SSU rRNA". It matches the Rfam family "Bacterial small subunit ribosomal RNA", at positions 15 to 518 of the family's 1533-position model. The record is from RNAcentral.
GAUUAUGGCUCAGGAUGAACGCUGGCGGCGUGCUUAACACAUGCAAGUCGAGCGGAAAUAUUUAAAGCUUGCUUUGAAUAUUUAGCGGCGGACGGGUGAGUAACGUGUGGGUAACCUGCCAUAUACUGUGGAAUAACCGUUUGAAAAGAUGACUAAUACCGCAUGUCGUCACCGAGGGGCAUCCCUUGGUGAAAAAAGGAGUAAUCCGGUAUAUGAUGGACCCGCAUCUGAUUAGCUAGUUGGUGAGAUAAUAGCUCACCAAGGCGACGAUCAGUAGCCGACCUGAGAGGGUGAUCGGCCACAUUGGGACUGAGACACGGCCCAAACUCCUACGGGAGGCAGCAGUGGGGAAUAUUGCACAAUGGGCGAAAGCCUGAAUGCAGCAACGCCGCGUGAAGGAAGAAGGGUUUCGGCUCGUAAACUUCUAUCAAUGGGGAAGAAAUAAAUGACGGUACCCAAAUAAGAAGCCCCGGCUAACUACGUGCCAGCAGCAGC